UUGGAUAGUGAGGUACAGAGAGAUGGGGGAUCUUGGGUUUGAUUGAGAAUGAUUGACUGUAAGACAAGCUGCCUUAUGAGGAUGUUGCAACACCACUGAGUGAGUUUUCUGAACCUGAACAAGGCAACAGCAGCACCACAGAAUCUGUCAAAACACAAGAAAUGAAGUGGACAAACCUAGCUUACAUUACCUCCACAAGAACACUGCCCCCACA
RNAcentral lists this long non-coding RNA (214 nucleotides) under Homo sapiens (human). RNAcentral describes it as "non-protein coding lnc-GDAP2-8:1". Lineage: Eukaryota; Metazoa; Chordata; Mammalia; Primates; Hominidae. The record is from RNAcentral.